UACGGAGGGGGCUAGCGUUGUUCGGAAUUACUGGGCGUAAAGCGCGCGUAGGCGGACUUUCAAGUCAGGGGUGAAAUCCCGAGGCUCAACCUCGGAACUGCCUUUGAUACUGCAAGUCUUGAGUCCGAGAGAGGUGAGUGGAAUUCCUAGUGUAGAGGUGAAAUUCGUAGAUAUUAGGAAGAACACCAGUGGCGAAGGCGGCUCACUGGCUCGGUACUGACGCUGAGGCGCGAAAGCGUGGGGAGCAAACAGG
Molecule: ribosomal RNA, 253 nt
Filed under: uncultured bacterium
Lineage: Bacteria
Description: partial 16S ribosomal RNA
Rfam family: Bacterial small subunit ribosomal RNA
Source: RNAcentral